This 301-nucleotide ribosomal RNA is filed under the name uncultured bacterium. Its description in RNAcentral is "partial 16S ribosomal RNA". It matches the Rfam family "Bacterial small subunit ribosomal RNA", at positions 509 to 807 of the family's 1533-position model. The record is from RNAcentral.
CAGCAGCCACGGUAAAACGUAGGGUGCAAGCGUUAAUCGGAAUUACUGGGCGUAAAGCGUGCGCAGGCGGCUUGUUAAGACAGAUGUGAAAUCCCCGGGCUCAACCUGGGAACUGCAUUUGUGACUGGCAAGCUAGAGUAUGGCAGAGGGGGGUGGAAUUCCGCGUGUAGCAGUGAAAUGCGUAGAUAUGCGGAGGAACACCGAUGGCGAAGGCAGCCCCCUGGGCCAAUACUGACGCCCAUGCACGAAAGCGUGGGGAGCAAACAGGAUUAGAUACCCCAGUAGUCCCUGUCUCUUAUAC